GUCUGGGUGGCUCAGUUGGUUGAGUGUCCAACUUCAGCUUGGGUCAUAUUUCAUGGUUUGUGGGUUCAAACCCCACAUUGGGCU
This 84-nucleotide transfer RNA is filed under the name Felis catus (domestic cat). It matches the Rfam family "tRNA". Rfam says of the family: Transfer RNA (tRNA) molecules are approximately 80 nucleotides in length. Their secondary structure includes four short double-helical elements and three loops (D, anti-codon, and T loops). RNAcentral also lists the same sequence under 2 other names. The record is from Rfam by way of RNAcentral. Lineage: Eukaryota; Metazoa; Chordata; Mammalia; Carnivora; Felidae.